RNAcentral lists this ribosomal RNA (301 nucleotides) under uncultured bacterium. RNAcentral describes it as "partial 16S ribosomal RNA". It matches the Rfam family "Bacterial small subunit ribosomal RNA", at positions 509 to 807 of the family's 1533-position model. The record is from RNAcentral.
CAGCCGCCGCGGGAACACAGAGGGUGCGAGCGUUAAUCGGAUUUACUGGGCGUAAAGCGUGCGUAGGCGGCUUCUUAAGUCGGAUGUGAAAUCCCUGAGCUUAACUUAGGAAUUGCAUUCGAUACUGGGAAGCUAGAGUAUGGGAGAGGAUGGUAGAAUUCCAGGUGUAGCGGUGAAAUGCGUAGAGAUCUGGAGGAAUACCGAUGGCGAAGGCAGCCAUCUGGCCUAAUACUGACGCUGAGGUACGAAAGCAUGGGGAGCAAACAGGAUUAGAGACCCGUGUAGUCCCUGUCUCUUAUAC